AGUGAACGCUGGCGGUAGGCCUAACACAUGCAAGUCGAACGGCAGCACAGUAAGAGCUUGCUCUUACGGGUGGCGAGUGGCGGACGGGUGAGGAAUACAUCGGAAUCUACUUUUUCGUGGGGGAUAACGUAGGGAAACUUACGCUAAUACCGCAUACGACCUACGGGUGAAAGCAGGGGUUCUUCGGACCUUGCGCGAUUGAAUGAGCCGAUGUCGGAUUAGCUAGUUGGCGGGGUAAAGGCCCACCAAGGCGACGAUCCGUAGGUGGUCUGAGAGUAUGAUCAGCCACACUGGAACUGAGACACGGUCCAGACUCCUACGGGAGGCAGCAGUGGGGAAUAUUGGACAAUGGGCGCAAGCCUGAUACAGCCAUACCGCGUGGGUGAAGAGGGCCUUCGGGUUGUGAAGCCCUUUUGUUGGGAAAGAAAAGCAGCAGGUUAAUACCCCGCUGUUCUGACGGUACCCAAAGAAUAAGCAACGGCUAACUUCGUG
This 492-nucleotide ribosomal RNA is filed under the name uncultured bacterium. RNAcentral's name for it is "partial 16S ribosomal RNA". It matches the Rfam family "Bacterial small subunit ribosomal RNA", at positions 29 to 507 of the family's 1533-position model. The record is from RNAcentral.